AUCUUCAUUAUAUGAACAAUCAAGAGACACGACUCUUGAUUGUUCAUAUCUUCCGCCACAUAUUAUAAAAGAGAUAAAAAAUUGGCAGCAACAGCAACAACAACAAUGGCAGUGGCAGCAGGGGGGACAGGAGUACAUACCAGUGCUACCACCACGAUGGAACAGAGGAAGAGGAGGAGGUUGCGGUCGUCGAGGAAGUCGCGGUGGAAGUCGCGGACA
This is a non-coding RNA of Linepithema humile (Argentine ant), 219 nucleotides long. The record is from RefSeq and is a predicted model, not a curated record. Lineage: Eukaryota; Metazoa; Arthropoda; Insecta; Hymenoptera; Formicidae.